This 146-nucleotide transfer RNA is filed under the name candidate division MSBL1 archaeon SCGC-AAA382A20. RNAcentral describes it as "candidate divison MSBL1 archaeon SCGC-AAA382A20 tRNA". It matches the Rfam family "tRNA". Rfam says of the family: Transfer RNA (tRNA) molecules are approximately 80 nucleotides in length. The record is from Rfam by way of RNAcentral. Lineage: Archaea; Methanobacteriati; Methanobacteriota.
GGGCCCGUAGCUCAGUCUGGCAGAGCACUAGGCUCUUAACCUAUUAAGAGCUUCGACUUUGUGGGACGUGGUCUUUUGACCAUGUCAGUUUAUUUUGGAUGAGGAAAGAAACCUAGGAGUCGCGGGUUCAAAUCCCGUCGGGCCCA